CGCCCUCUACAAACAGACAAUGGCUGACGACUCAAUAUGAAUCCCCAGUUUUGAGUCAACACUAUUAACCAACUAAUAGGAGGAAGUGAAAUCGGCUUGCUGAGCAGUGUUUACGUUGUGAUUAGCUUUCAAGGCACAGUAGAGCGGAGUCAAGCAAGUGGGGUGAUAUUUUCAAAACGUGAGAGGCUCUUUGUACAAUUUGCAAAUUACAGAGUUAAAAUCAGUGGCACAAAGUGAUGUGGAACGCAGGCCAUUGCUCUCAUCAGCACGCAGACCACGGAGGAGAUGAUGCACAUAGUGGACCAGAGCUUGGGAUUCAAUAUACUUUAUAUACCAAAAUCGACAUCAAUAACGUUCAGUGCCUGAACGAAGCCAUUGAGGGAUCAGGAAAAACUGUAUUCAAACCGUGGGACGAGCGGUUGGAUUUUAGCCGGGUGGUCGAAUCAGACUGCGAUGAGGAGCUCUUAUUUUCUGUCCCUUUUACGGGUAAUGUUAAACUGAAAGGGAUUAUUGUCGUUGGAGGUGAAGGCGAUUUCCAUCCGUCAGCUUUGCGCCUUUUUAAAAAUCGGCCCAACAUGUCCUUUGAUGAUGCAGCUGCCGAACCAGACCAAGAGUUUGAGCUAAGCAGGGACAUCGAUGGAACGCUCGAGUACCCCACGAAGAUUGUGAAGUUUGCUAAUGUGCACCACCUCACCCUUCAUUUUCCGAAAAGCUUUGGAGCGGACACCACAAAAAUAGUUUAUAUUGGACUAAAAGGGGAGUUUACUGAGCUGCCGCUAGGUCUCAUUAUCAUAAAAUACUUACGCGCUACUGGAUGAUAACAUUGUUCGGUGCAGUUCGGCUAGAGCCGCCAUUCGACGAAGUUGAGCAAAACAAGGUGCUUUUAGCAAAUUCAAUGAGCUGCAAAGCGGUAUCGAACCCAGUUAUUUUUGACGACGAUUCAUUUAAGCUGACGAAACUACAGUGGACGGAUAGACUAUUUCCGUACGUAGCUGUACAAUGGAAAUAUAGUGGACGGUGAGGGCAAUCUUAGAAUAAAAGGUAAACCUAUUUUUUAAAAUGUUGUCAAAGUUAAAGAAAAUCUCACGAACUAUUACCUACCAGCCUAUUUUAGACACCUAUUUAUUAAUGCGUUAUGCUUACAAUUGUUUUUACUGCGAUG
Varroa destructor (honeybee mite) is the source of this 1162-nucleotide non-coding RNA. Lineage: Eukaryota; Metazoa; Arthropoda; Arachnida; Mesostigmata; Varroidae. The record is from RefSeq and is a predicted model, not a curated record.